RNAcentral lists this ribosomal RNA (394 nucleotides) under uncultured Gammaproteobacteria bacterium. RNAcentral's name for it is "bacterial SSU rRNA". It matches the Rfam family "Bacterial small subunit ribosomal RNA", at positions 370 to 779 of the family's 1533-position model. Lineage: Bacteria; Pseudomonadati; Pseudomonadota; Gammaproteobacteria. The record is from RNAcentral.
AAUGGGCGAAAGCCUGACGGAGCAACGCCGCGUGAGGGAUGAAGGCCUCUGGGCUGUAAACCUCUUUUAUCAAGGAAGAAGAUCUGACGGUACUUGAUGAGUAAGCCACGGCUAAUUCCGUGCCAGCAGCCGCGGUAAUACGGGAGUGGCAAGCGUUAUCCGGAAUUAUUGGGCGUAAAGCGUCCGCAGGCGGCCCAGAAAGUCUGCUGUUAAAACGUGGAGCUUAACUCCAUCAUGGCAGUGGAAACUGUUGGGCUUGAGUGUGGUAGGGGCAGAGGGAAUUCCCGGUGUAGCGGUGAAAUGCGUAGAUAUCGGGAAGAACACCAGUGGCGAAGGCGCUCUGCUGGGCCAUAACUGACGCUCAUGGACGAAAGCCAGGGGAGCGAAAGGGAUU